Long non-coding RNA from Dreissena polymorpha, 4038 nucleotides. RefSeq lists it as uncharacterized. NCBI's taxonomy places the organism in Eukaryota, Metazoa, Mollusca, Bivalvia, Myida, Dreissenidae. The transcript is spliced from 7 exons. The record is from RefSeq and is a predicted model, not a curated record.
UCUGUAAACGCUGUUUAUCAAAUAUGGCGCAGGUUUUUGACAGUUUGGAAGAAACAAGAAAUUAUAUUCACGAAGAAGAGGUCAAAGUCAAUAGCAAAUUCCUGUUUUACAAGUCAAGGAAACAAACAUUUGGUUUCGGCAAAAGAUGUUGGGAUUAUCUUUGAAGACCGCAGAGUUACCAUCUGAGAACACAGAUACAAAUGUGGCACAGGAAAAGAAAAGUAUGCGUUGCUCGGUACUUGCCCGAAUCAAAUAGGUUGUCUUCCUUCACAAGUACCAGAUUGUGGAACCUGUCACCCUGGCAGGCAGAAGGGCUUUGAUAGAUGAGAUCAGAAAGAGGCCCCUGGAACCUGAUGAUAAACUUGUGCAGGUGUAUGUUGCGAUCUCUGGCGAGCACAACUUUCAUCCAAAGCCGGCCGAGUUCAUAGCCACAAGAUUGUUUCCUGUGGAUAUUAGCAGUGCGCAUGAAAUUCCUGCUUUAGAAGAGAAUGUGCAAACUGAUGAAACUAUCGAAGAGUGGUUUGCCAUUCAGGGUCUGAAGCAGUACAUAGACACAUUCAAGGAACAUCAGAUCUUCACUGUACAACAGCUGGCCUCUAUCACAGAACAGGACCUGAUAAAAAUGGAAAUUAAGAAAACCCAUAUACCAAAACUGUGGAAGAAGAUGUGUAUUCUUCAUAACCAAAUGAAACAAACUAAUAGAUGCACGAGAUCCUUAGGGUAUAAAAACGGUCAUGGAGUGGAUACGAAUGAUCAGUGGAUGGAAAACUAUAAUGACCAUGAGGAUGAAGACAAUGAAAUGCAUAUGGAGCCAAACAGUCAACAAUAUAUAUAUAUAUAUAUAUGUCAUUCCAAAAUGUGCUCAAGUGGUUCCCCACGAUCCUAAUAUGACCGCUGAAGAUAAACAGACAGUGAUGUUUACAGAAAAUACCGUAGUAAGGGAAAGUGAGGCAUGUCCCGGUUUUGAGGAAUUUACCACUUACACAUACAGGCAUACUGUGACAGUGAGUUUGGUGAAAGUGGAGAAAUAUCUUAAAAAGUGCCCGGUUAAAAGUCCAAAUACGAGACAAAAGUUUAGCUAGCAUUGAAUAUGAGAACAUUCUUGGUCAUUCAGCUCUAAAGAUAUUAUUUGAAUAACUAACCACCUACAAUUCUCUAUAAAAUUGGCCAUUAAAUAUAACUUACGUUUAUAAAGUCUUGUAAGUCUUGUGAAUAUAGAACUAUUUAGAACUUAACUCAUUGCCAGUUACCAACAACUUUUUUACCUUUAUAUGAUUUGUAUUUCACAUUUUAAUUUAUUUUUUCCUUUUGAUAAAAAAUCUGGAGUAACACUAAUCUUGAUGACAAUUCACAACCCUGCCCUUUUAGAUUUUUUUUUGUGUACCUGUAAAUUAGCAACAAACCCUUGUUCACAGAGUUCCGAAUAACACCUAUAGAAUACAAAUUAAUUUAAUGGUAAAAUGAGGGGAAGUUGUUGGAUCGUAUGGUUCAGGCGGGUGCUUCUUAAAGCAAGCAGAGUGAAUGCCAGGCAUUUAGUGACAUCUUUGACAACUAGAGGGCCAACAUUCUUGAAUAUCUGUUGCUAUGAGAGAAGCUUUUUUCUGUAAAAACGUGUUUCUGAGUCUGUCAAAACUGUAAAUUAUUUUAUAAUUUUAUAACUUGCCAUGUGUGCACUUUUUUAACAGGGCUAUAUAUACUUAAAUAUACAUACAUGUAGUAGGUGUGGUAUAACUUUAUAAAUUAUAUAAUUACUAAUAUUCUGCCAAACAAUGUAACAUUACUGUUUGACCUUGACGUCACUUCCUAUGAAAUGUUUUUGUUUACAUUCAUUCUACUUAUGAAGGCUAUGGCCAAAACAUGUUUAGUAUUUAAAAAAAAAGUAAAUAAAUAAACAAAAGUAACAAGUUUGUACAGAUUAUUUCAUUUUAUUGGCAUAUUUCUUGAAUGCUCUUAUACAAAAUGCUCUAGUUUUUAGCUUUUGUGAUCGCCUUUUGUCCGUCGUCAACACUUUCCUUGUUAACACUCUAGAGGCCACAUUUAUUGUCCAAUCUUCAUAAUAUUUGGUUAGAACAUUGGUCUCAAUAAUAUCUUGGAUGAGUUCGAAAAUCAUCAGGUUACGUUUGCUUGAAAAACAUGGCUGCCAAGGGGCGGGGCAUAUUAAAUGAUAUGGCUAUAUAUGGCUAUAGUAAAAUCUUGUUAACACUCUAGAGGCCACAUUUGUUGUCGGAUCUUCAUGAAACUACUGGGUCAGAAGAUUCAUCCCAAUAAUAUCUUGGAUGAGUUCGAAUAUGGCUUCGGUUGCGUGAUAAACAUGGCCACCAGAGGGCGGGGCAUUUUUCUUAUAUGGCUAUAUAUGGCUUUGGUAAAACCUUGUGAACACUCUAGAGGCCACAUUUAUUGUCCAAUCUUCAUGAAAUUUGGUCAGAAGAUUUGUCUAAAUGAUAUUUUGGAUGAGUUCGAAAAUGGCAACGUUUGCUUGAAAAACAUGGCUGCCAAGGAGCGGGGCAUUUUUCCUUAUAUGGCUAUAGUAAAAUCUUGUUAACACUCUAUAGAGGCCAGAUUUAUUGUCCGAUUUUCAUGAAACUUGGUCAGAUGAUUCAUCCCAAUAAUAUCUUGGACGAGUUAAAAAAUGAUGCCGGUUGGUUGAAAAACAUGGCCGCCAGGGGGCGGGGCAUUUUUCCUAAUAUGGCUAUAGUAAAACCUUGUUAACACUCUAGAGGCCACAUUUAUUUUCGGAUCUUCAUGAAACUUGGUCAGAAGAUUUAAAAACAUGGCCACCAGGGGGCGGGGCAUUUUUCCUUAUAUGGCUAUAGUAAAAUCUUGUUAACACUCUAGAGGCCACAUUUAUUUUCCGAUCUUCAUGAAUCUUGGUCAGAAGAUUGGUCUCAAUGAUAUCUUGAAUGAGUUCGAAAAUGGUCUUGGUUGCUUUAAAAACAUGGCCGUCUGGGGGCGGGGCAUUUUUCCUAAUAUGGCUAUAUAUUGCUUUAGUAAAACCUAAUUAACACACUAAGUGCCACAUUUAUUGUCCGAUCAUCAUGAAAAUUGGUCACAAGAUUUGUACCAAUGAUAGCUUGGAUGAGUUCAAAAAUGGUCGAAAAUUUGCCAAGGGGGCGUGGCAUUUUUCCUUAUAUAGCUAUAGUAAAACCUUGUUAACACUCCAGAAGCCAUAUUUAUUGUCCAAUCAUCAUGAAUCUUUGUCAGAAGAUUAGUCCCAAUGAUAUCUUGGACAAGUUCGAAAAUGGUUUCAUUUGCUUAAAAAACAUGGUCACCAGGGUCGGGGCAUUUUUCUCAUAUGGCUUCAUGAAACUUUGUCAGAAUAUUUGUUUAAAUGAUAUCUUGGAUGUGUAUGAAAAUGGUUCUGGUCUGUUCAAAAACAUAGCUGCUAGUCAUGAAAGUUGGUAAGCACAUUUUGUUCUAAUGACAUCUUGGGCUGCACAGAACAGGUCAGUUCCUUUAAAUCUCAGGUGAACGACUUCGGGCCUUUUAGGCCCUCUUGUUCUUCAAAUUUGCGAUUGUUAUGCCUGUCAUUUUAUAAUGAUGAAUGGAAUAUAUGUAGGUUUAUCUCUGUCUGUGAGUGUGUUUGUUUUAGCCUGAGAUAUACUGUCCAGAUCAUAAUUUGUGUGUGCAUUUAAGAUUUUUGAAAAAUGCACAAACCAUGAUCAUUUAAGGAUUAAGUCACAUGCAACUAUCAUGACCAUCACUUCAUGGUCACAGUGGACACAUACAUUUUUACAUUUUUCUAUAAGAAAUUAUAUUUGUGUCCUGCUCAUCACUUUGUUGUGCAAGAUGGGAUUUCAAAAUAAACUGGCUCAAAUGAUCAUCAUAGUAAGACUAUGUGCAAAAACAACUAUGCCGCUUGCUUACAGGUCAAGGUUACAGUGGACACAUUGAGGUUUUGAAUAUUGCUCAGAUUGGCAAGAAUGCCAUGGUCACAAUGAUAUGCCAGUCAUUAAAAAAACAUUUUUGAUAAAGUCUCAAUUGUUUUUCUUAUUUGAUCUUUAAUAGUUACUCAGACUCACAACCCCGUGAUAAGUUAUU